GUGGGUAGUUUGACUGGGGCGGUCUCCUCCUAAAGAGUAACGGAGGAGCACGAAGGUUGGCUAAUCCUGGUCGGACAUCAGGAGGUUAGUGCAAUGGCAUAAGCCAGCUUGACUGCGAGCGUGACGGCGCGAGCAGGUGCGAAAGCAGGUCAUAGUGAUCCGGUGGUUCUGAAUGGAAGGGCCAUCGCUCAACGGAUAAAAGGUACUCCGGGGAUAACAGGCUGAUACCGCCCAAGAGUUCAUAUCGACGGCGGUGUUUGGCACCUCGAUGUCGGCUCAUCACAUCCUGGGGCUGAAGUAGGUCCCAAGGGUAUGGCUGUUCGCCAUUUAAAGUGGUACGCGAGCUGGGUUUAGAACGUCGUGAGACAGUUCGGUCCCUAUCUGCCGUGGGCGCUGGAGAACUGAGGGGGGCUGCUCCUAGUACGAGAGGACCGGAGUGGACGCAUCACUGGUGUUCGGGUUGUCAUGCCAAUGGCACUGCCCGGUAGCUAAAUGCGGAAGAGAUAAGUGCUGAAAGCAUCUAAGCACGAAACUUGCCCCGAGAUGAGUUCUCCCUGAGACUUAGAGUCUCCUGAAGGAACGUUGAAGACGACGACGUUGAUAGGCCGGGUGUGUAAGCGCAGCGA
RNAcentral lists this ribosomal RNA (626 nucleotides) under Salmonella enterica subsp. enterica serovar Rissen. Its description in RNAcentral is "partial 23S ribosomal RNA". It matches the Rfam family "Bacterial large subunit ribosomal RNA", at positions 2261 to 2881 of the family's 2925-position model. Lineage: Bacteria; Pseudomonadati; Pseudomonadota; Gammaproteobacteria; Enterobacterales; Enterobacteriaceae. The record is from RNAcentral.